RNAcentral lists this transfer RNA (77 nucleotides) under Bacillota bacterium. RNAcentral describes it as "Firmicutes bacterium (anaerobic digester metagenome) tRNA-Pro". It matches the Rfam family "tRNA". From Rfam's summary of the family: Transfer RNA (tRNA) molecules are approximately 80 nucleotides in length. Their secondary structure includes four short double-helical elements and three loops (D, anti-codon, and T loops). Lineage: Bacteria; Bacillati; Bacillota. The record is from RNAcentral.
CGGGCUGUGGCGCAGUUUGGUAGCGCGCUUGAAUGGGGUUCAAGAGGUCGCUGGUUCGAAUCCAGUCAGCCCGACCA